RNAcentral lists this ribosomal RNA (911 nucleotides) under uncultured bacterium. RNAcentral describes it as "bacterial SSU rRNA". It matches the Rfam family "Bacterial small subunit ribosomal RNA", at positions 53 to 958 of the family's 1533-position model. The record is from RNAcentral.
ACAUGCAAGUCGAACGGCAGCACGGACUUUGGUCUGGUGGCGAGUGGCGAACGGGUGAGUAAUAUAUCGGAACGUAUCCAAUAAUGGGGGAUAACUAAUCGAAAGGUUGGCUAAUACCGCAUACGCCCUACGGGGGAAAGCUAGGGAUCUUCGGACCUGGCGUUAAUGGAGCGGCCGAUAUCUGAUUAGCUAGUUGGUGAGGUAAAGGCUCACCAAGGCGACGAUCAGUAGCUGGUCUGAGAGGACGACCAGCCACACUGGAACUGAGACACGGUCCAGACUCCUACGGGAGGCAGCAGUGGGGAAUUUUGGACAAUGGGCGCAAGCCUGAUCCAGCCAUUCCGCGUGAGUGAAGAAGGCCUUCGGGUUGUAAAGCUCUUUCGCAAGGGAAGAAAACUCAUCCUCUAACAUAGGAUGAGGUUGACGGUACCUUGAUAAGAAGCACCGGCUAACUACGUGCCAGCAGCCGCGGUAAUACGUAGGGUGCGAGCGUUAAUCGGAAUUACUGGGCGUAAAGCGUGCGCAGGCUGUUCUGUAAGUCAGAUGUGAAAUCCCCGAGCUCAACUUGGGAACUGCGUUUGAAACUACAGGACUAGAAUAUGUCAGAGGGGGGUAGAAUUCCACGUGUAGCAGUGAAAUGCGUAGAGAUGUGGAGGAAUACCAAUGGCGAAGGCAGCCCCCUGGGAUAAUAUUGACGCUCAUGCACGAAAGCGUGGGGAGCAAACAGGAUUAGAUACCCUGGUAGUCCACGCCCUAAACGAUGUCUACUAGUUGUUGGUGGAGUAAAAUCCAUGAGUAACGCAGCUAACGCGUGAAGUAGACCGCCUGGGGAGUACGGUCGCAAGAUUAAAACUCAAAUGAAUUGACGGGGGCCCGCACAAGCGGUGGAUUAUGUGGAUUAAUUCGAUGCA